This 497-nucleotide ribosomal RNA is filed under the name uncultured bacterium. RNAcentral describes it as "partial 16S ribosomal RNA". It matches the Rfam family "Bacterial small subunit ribosomal RNA", at positions 28 to 507 of the family's 1533-position model. The record is from RNAcentral.
GAUGAGCGCUGGCGGCGUGCCUAAUACAUGCCAGUCGAGCGAACAGACGAGGAGCUUGCUCCUCUGACGUUAGCGGCGGACGGGUGAGUAACACGUGGAUAACCUACCUAUAAGACUGGGAUAACUUCGGGAAACCGGAGCUAAUACCGGAUAAUAUAUUGAACCGCAUGGUUCAAUAGUGAAAGACGGUUUUGCUGUCACUUAUAGAUGGAUCCGCGCCGCAUUAGCUAGUUGGUAAGGUAACGGCUUACCAAGGCAACGAUGCGUAGCCGACCUGAGAGGGUGAUCGGCCACACUGGAACUGAGACACGGUCCAGACUCCUACGGGAGGCAGCAGUAGGGAAUCUUCCGCAAUGGGCGAAAGCUUGACGGAGCAACGCCGCGUGAGUGAUGAAGGUCUUCGGAUCGUAAAACUCUGUUAUUAGGGAAGAACAAAUGUGUAAGUAACUAUGCACGUCUUGACGGUACCUAAUCAGAAAGCCACGGCUAACUACGUG